RNAcentral lists this ribosomal RNA (432 nucleotides) under uncultured bacterium. RNAcentral describes it as "partial 16S ribosomal RNA". It matches the Rfam family "Bacterial small subunit ribosomal RNA", at positions 29 to 506 of the family's 1533-position model. The record is from RNAcentral.
AACGAACGCUGGCGGCAUGCCUAACACAUGCAAGUCGAACGAGACCUUCGUGUCUUUUGGCGCUCGUCUGCUUACCGCCUGGUGACCUACCCUUAUGUUCGGUAUCACUCCCUUUAAGGUGUGUCCAUACCGCUUAAUCUCAUCCGACAUAAGAUGUAUUGCCUGUGGAUGGGCCCGCGUUGGAUUCGCUGGUUGGGAUGGUACAAGCCUACCAUGGCGUUGAUGCAUAGCUGGUCUGAGAGGAUGAUCAGCCACACUGGGACUGAGACACGGCCCAGACGCCUACGAGAGGCAGCAGUGGGGAAUAUGGGACAAGGGGCGAAAGCCUGAUCCAGCAAUGCCGCGAGAGUGAUGAAGGCCUUAGGGUUGUAAAGCUCUUUUACCCGGGAUGAUAAUGACAGUACCGGGAGAAUAAGCUCCGGCUAACUCCGU